AGUUCUGAAAACGCCAUAGGGUGGCUAUCAAGUUUAAUAAAAACGAGGAAGAGAUGAUAUGCGCAUGUACUUUGCUUAUCUUUCAUAUUGGUAUAAUUAUGGAUUUCCCUUUCGCUGGAUGGUGCUAGUGUAGCUGGGGAAUUGGUAAAUGCACUAUCCGGACACAAGUGAUAGGCUAUAUGUUAUAGUUUGUCCGAUGGACCGAUAGCAUUUUUUUUAUUCAUAUACCGUAGUUGCAGAUUUUCCAUUGCUUCAUGUAGUUUCAGAAAGAAAAAAAUGAUUUAUAUGUAAAUUUUGUUGAUUAAGUCACAUAGAUUUUCUUCACUCUUGUUUCUCCAAGUUUUCAUGAGUAUGUAUCAUGGUUUAAAAAUUUUGUGUCCAAAACAUUUUGGCCACCACUGAAUUGUCUCAAAAUUUUGGUUUUCGACCCGGCCAAAUAGUUUCACUUCAGUUCUACGACAUUGGAAUAUUCUUUGGGCUGUUCCUAGUUUGCAACUUAAUUUCCAACACUCUCCUCUGUGCUAUAUGUUAGUUUUUUAUGGCCAUUUUCUAUUAUAGGGGCAUGUCUACUCCUUUUGCAAUAUUCAUUACAGUUAUGUCAGUAUACCUUGUGUUUUUCUUGGAUUUUUUUCUCUAAUCAGCUGGAUGUACAAGUACAUCUAGAAGUUCGAGCCUCUCCAGUUUUAUAUUAGAGGCAUGUGUACACCGUUACUUCAUUUUGUUGAAUUGUGACAAUGCACAAUAAGCUUUUUGUUUUACAUCUCUAUCUUUGGUUCACUUGCCUAUUUGUGAUCUAAACAUCAUGUUUUUCAGGUCCGUAUUGGUUAUUUCGCUAGAGACGUUGCCAUGAUAUUUGGGAUUUAACCUUUCAUCGGUGGAAUGGAGUCAUUAAGUAAACAUAUUUUGUCUUACCCUUCCUUCCCCUUCCACUUCUCCCAUUUUCCAUUCAAAUUGAAUAUAUAACCUUUACCUACUACUCUCACUCAACUUUUAUAAAGUUCAUUUUCUGUAUCUGCUGCUUACUUUUAGGUUGUGAACCACACGUCUAUCUUUUAUAAAUUGCGAAGAUGAUUCCCUCUCAUCUCCACACUCAGUACUUGAUAACAGCAUAGUUGAGUAUGUGCAGUUCAUUUGCCUUCUCCAAAUUGUAAAUAGGUUGGUGUCCUGCAGUAUAACAAUUAGUGUAAGCUUGUACAUGGAUCCUUUGCCAUCUCAAUGAAAUAUUAUUGGCCAACAUGUAAUUGAUACUACUGAUUGUGCUCGCUCUCAUUCUUGAGUAGAUUUUUAUACUGGCAGUUUUUUUGGUCAUUCCAGGCCCUUACAACAACCGCUAAACAGAUCUUUUGUAAUUACUAUUUUUUGCAUAGAUCAUUCUUCCAUCACGAUCUUUUAUCAGAGCAACAAAGAGAGGUUUUUAUUUCAUACAAACCUGUAUUUCAUUGCAUACUACAUUCACUUGCAAUAUGUUUUACAGUCUUGAUUCUGCUCUUACAACCAGAAGUAACUCUGUUGGAAUGAAUGAGAAAAGACAUUCUGUUGAAGCAAAGUAUUAAGCUCUUAGAAAAUUUGCAAGCAUGUUGUAGUGAUGGAGUCCUUGCAGCUAGUAUUUCAAGGUAUACAAAAUAUGGCUCCCUUUUGGUCUGGAUGGACCUAAAGGUUCUGGCGGGAGCUCAAGUUAUCCUGUAGGUUCUGACUGAGCAUUCUCUAUACAUGUCAAAGAUUUCAUAUAGACUUCAAAAGAAGCAUGCAGGGAUGCAGCGAUGGCAGUGGUUGGAGGCUGGUGCAGGGGACGCGACUGCGGGCAGCAGUGGCGGCAGUCGGCUCCUGGCGGUGCAGAGCAGCGGCCGUGCGCGAGGCGUGGUGUAACGGACACGGCGGCAGACAGCGCCGCAGUGGCAGCGAUCACCUCCUGGCAGUGCAGAGCAGGCGGCCGUGUACGCCAGGCGGCGUGCAGAGUCAAGCUCGGCGGCGACAGGAAGGUCGCGACAGAGGUGUCGCCGGCGGGCGCACGACUGCGUCUGCGGAUGCACGGCCACGGUUACGCACGAUCUGAGGGGGGAAAGUCACGGGAGCGGGAGCUGCGGUUAUGGACGCCUCUGAUCUGAAAAAAUAGUCACGGCAGCGGAACAUUGUCCGUCCCUGUCCGUGAGAGUGCUAGUCGUUAGAUGAAGGAUGUAUGGCCCUGAUUUGUUGGAUCACCACCCUCUCUUCCUUUUAAUAGUAGUGGUGAUGUAUCUAGAUACAUUUUAAUUAAAAAUACAUUUAUAUUUACAUAUA
Molecule: long non-coding RNA, 2277 nt
Organism: Lolium perenne
Lineage: Eukaryota; Viridiplantae; Streptophyta; Magnoliopsida; Poales; Poaceae
Source: RefSeq, a predicted model, not a curated record